UGGGGCGUAACCGAGUGGUUCAGGUAUGUGGCUUUGACCCACAGUACGUAGGUUCGAAUCCUACCGCCCCAGCCA
RNAcentral lists this transfer RNA (75 nucleotides) under Pseudomonadota bacterium. RNAcentral's name for it is "Proteobacteria bacterium (groundwater metagenome) tRNA-Gln". It matches the Rfam family "tRNA". Rfam says of the family: Transfer RNA (tRNA) molecules are approximately 80 nucleotides in length. Their secondary structure includes four short double-helical elements and three loops (D, anti-codon, and T loops). The record is from RNAcentral. Lineage: Bacteria; Pseudomonadati; Pseudomonadota.